UGCCGUGGGCGCUGGAGAACUGAGGGGGCUGCUCCUAGUACGAGAGGACCGGAGUGGACGCAUCACUGGUGUUCGGGUUGUCAUGCCAAUGGCACUGCCCGGUAGCUAAAUGCGGAAGAGAUAAGUGCUGAAAGCAUCUAAGCACGAAACUUGCCCCGAGAUGAGUUCUCCCUGACCCUUUAAGGGUCCUGAAGGAACGUUGAAGACGACGACGUUGAUAGGCCGGGUGUGUAAGCGCAGCGAUGCGUUGAGCUAACCGGUACUAAUGAACCGUGAGGCUUAACCUUAC
This 289-nucleotide ribosomal RNA is filed under the name Escherichia coli O55:H7 str. USDA 5905. RNAcentral's name for it is "partial 23S ribosomal RNA". It matches the Rfam family "Bacterial large subunit ribosomal RNA", at positions 2643 to 2925 of the family's 2925-position model. The record is from RNAcentral. Lineage: Bacteria; Pseudomonadati; Pseudomonadota; Gammaproteobacteria; Enterobacterales; Enterobacteriaceae.